UCCUCUCCUCCCUUCGUAAUACGUUUGUCUCAAGGCACCGCCUUCCAUCUUCUCUAAACACCAGAAACCACUAUCAACGGGAGAAAGAACCACCGUCUCCACCAUUUCAUUACUUAGGGUGUCUACAAUCGGCGUAAUAUAUGUCUAUGUAGCAAAGUAUUGUUUUUAAAACUUGACCUUAUAUCUAUCUAUGCCCAUUUUCACUGGGCAGCUUCCUCUCCUUCUUUCGUAAUACAUUUCUAUCAAGUCAGUGCCUUCCAUCUUCUCUAAGCACCGGAAACCACCGUCAACAGGAGAAAGAACCACCAUUUUCUCCGUACCUCAACCAUCGUAGCGAGUUUGGAAUCCAGUCUAUUCCAGUCCACUCCAUUGGCAACACCACGAACACUCACAUCUUCAUCCUCCGACCACCACUCCUCUCAAGACCUCGCCGUCCUUCUCGAAGUCGAAGGGGUUCUCAUGGAUUCGCACCGCGUCGGAAAGUGUCUCGCCUUCGAUAAAGCGUUCGAGAAGCUCGGGCUCGAUUGCGCGAACUGGAGUGAACUGGAGUGAUCUUUCCAAGAGAAGUGCUGGAGAUGAGGAAAAAAUGGUAUUUCUGUAUUUUAAUCGGAUUGGGUGGCCUUCUUCGUUACCUACAAAUGAGAAGGGACUGUUUGCAAAAAGAGUUUUGCAGCAAAAGAUUUUGUCCUUACUCUUGAUCUUGAUGAAUGGUAUAGUACUAAUAAUCAGUGUGCUUUUUUACUUUGUUGUACAAGGAAUGCUAGGUAUAUUAAAUGCAAUUAGUUAACUAGGACUGUGUUGUUGAUGACAACAUAGAGUUGUGCUGAAACUGUCCUGAUUCCGGUGAAUUUAUAAUGAAAGAUCUGGUGGCAACAACUUAAGAUAAUAAUACAUG
This is a non-coding RNA of Cajanus cajan (pigeon pea), 895 nucleotides long. The record is from RefSeq and is a predicted model, not a curated record. Lineage: Eukaryota; Viridiplantae; Streptophyta; Magnoliopsida; Fabales; Fabaceae.